AGUGAGCGCUGGCGGUAGGCCUAACACAUGCAAGUCGAACGGCAGCACAGGAGAGCUUGCUCUCUGGGUGGCGAGCGGCGGACGGGUGAGGAAUACAUCGGAAUCUACUCUGUCGUGGGGGAUAACGUAGGGAAACUUACGCUAAUACCGCAUACGACCUACGGGUGAAAGCAGGGGACCUUCGGGCCUUGCGCGAUUGAAUGAGCCGAUGUCGGAUUAGCUAGGUGGCGGGGUAAAGGCCCACCAAGGCGACGAUCCGUAGCUGGUCUGAGAGGGUGUGCAGCCGCAAUGGGACUGAGGCACGGUCCAGACUCCGCGGGGAGGCAGCGGUGGGGAAUAUUGGACAAUGGGCGCAAGCCUGAUCCAGCCAUACCGCGUGGGUGAAGAAGGCCUUCGGGUUGUAAAGCCCUUUUGUUGGGAAAGAAAUCCAGCUGGCUAAUACCCGGUUGGGAUGACGGUACCCAAAGAAUAAGCACCGGCUAACUUCGUGCCAGCCGCCGCCGUAA
Molecule: ribosomal RNA, 506 nt
Filed under: uncultured bacterium
Lineage: Bacteria
Description: partial 16S ribosomal RNA
Rfam family: Bacterial small subunit ribosomal RNA
Source: RNAcentral